Molecule: long non-coding RNA, 603 nt
Organism: Dermochelys coriacea (leatherback sea turtle)
Lineage: Eukaryota; Metazoa; Chordata; Testudines; Dermochelyidae
Exons: 3
Source: RefSeq, a predicted model, not a curated record
UGCAUGCUGCAUGAAAGCCAAGAAAGGGUUUGACACACCAGGGGACCAGCAGAAGGGUCUGCAAUCUAGUAAAAAACAGAGUUAUACAGAAAACCUAUCUAAUAAGAUCAAGAGGCCAGAAUCAGAGGGUCCAGUACUGCAAAAAAUCCAUAGAACUGCUCACGUUGCCUUCCAGACUUAGAUGUUCAUUUGGGACUGAUAAAAGUCCCAUAUUUUACUUCCUUGUCCCAGUCCAACUACAAAAGAUUACAGAAGGUUAAGAAAAGUGUCAAAUGGCAGGGGCAGAAUCCUAAGACUUCAGAAUACAUUGAAGAAUCUACAUUUUUGGAUUUCAUGAUUUCUGACAUACUUUUUGUUGACUAUUACUGAUACCCUUAAAUUGUGAAAACAAUAUAUAUUCCAGAUUUAAUACCUAACCUCAAAGAACUAAUGGAAUUGUCAGCCAAGUGCUGGAAGAAGUGAAAGAAAAACAUAAAACACUUGAAGGAAAAAAAUAAAUAUCUUUUUCAUAGAAGACAUACCAAGCAUCAUUUGUCUUAAGCCGAAACAGCCUUAACCAUGAAAAUUAUAAUAUAAACCGCUUGUCACACAAUAAAUUAUAUG